RNAcentral lists this ribosomal RNA (3007 nucleotides) under Salmonella enterica. RNAcentral describes it as "23S ribosomal RNA". It matches the Rfam family "Bacterial large subunit ribosomal RNA". Lineage: Bacteria; Pseudomonadati; Pseudomonadota; Gammaproteobacteria; Enterobacterales; Enterobacteriaceae. The record is from RNAcentral.
GGUUAAGCGACUAAGCGUACACGGUGGAUGCCCUGGCAGUCAGAGGCGAUGAAGGGCGUGCUAAUCUGCGAUAAGCGCCGGUAAGGUGAUAUGAACCGUUAUAACCGGCGAUACCCGAAUGGGGAAACCCAGUGUGACUCGUCACACUAUCAUUAACUGAAUCCAUAGGUUAAUGAGGCGAACCGGGGGAACUGAAACAUCUAAGUACCCCGAGGAAAAGAAAUCAACCGAGAUUCCCCCAGUAGCGGCGAGCGAACGGGGAGGAGCCCAGAGCCUGAAUCAGCAUGUGUGUUAGUGGAAGCGUCUGGAAAGGCGCGCGAUACAGGGUGACAGCCCCGUACACAAAAGCGCAUGUGCUGUGAGCUCGAUGAGUAGGGCGGGACACGUGGUAUCCUGUCUGAAUAUGGGGGGACCAUCCUCCAAGGCUAAAUACUCCUGACUGACCGAUAGUGAACCAGUACCGUGAGGGAAAGGCGAAAAGAACCCCGGCGAGGGGAGUGAAAAAGAACCUGAAACCGUGUACGUACAAGCAGUGGGAGCCCCACCACUAAGCCAGUGGUGAACUCCACAUACGCAUCCUUUGCUGAGGAUACGGUUAACGGAGCGAAAGCGACGUUCAACCUCAAAAGAAGCAGAGGGGGCUUAGUGGUGGGGUGACUGCGUACCUUUUGUAUAAUGGGUCAGCGACUUAUAUUCUGUAGCAAGGUUAACCGAAUAGGGGAGCCGGAGGGAAACCGAGUCUUAACCGGGCGUUAAGUUGCAGGGUAUAGACCCGAAACCCGGUGAUCUAGCCAUGGGCAGGUUGAAGGUUGGGUAACACUAACUGGAGGACCGAACCGACUAAUGUUGAAAAAUUAGCGGAUGACCUGUGGCUGGGGGUGAAAGGCCAAUCAAACCGGGAGAUAGCUGGUUCUCCCCGAAAGCUAUUUAGGUAGCGCCUCGUGAAUUCAUCUCCGGGGGUAGAGCACUGUUUCGGCUAGGGGGCCAUCCCGGCUUACCAACCCGAUGCAAACUGCGAAUACCGGAGAAUGUUAUCACGGGAGACACACGGCGGGUGCUAACGUCCGUCGUGAAGAGGGAAACAACCCAGACCGCCAGCUAAGGUCCCAAAGUCAUGGUUAAGUGGGAAACGAUGUGGGAAGGCCCAGACAGCCAGGAUGUUGGCUUAGAAGCAGCCAUCAUUUAAAGAAAGCGUAAUAGCUCACUGGUCGAGUCGGCCUGCGCGGAAGAUGUAACGGGGCUAAACCAUGCACCGAAGCUGCGGCAGCGACGCUGAUGCGUUGUUGGGUAGGGGAGCGUUCUGUAAGCCUGCGAAGGUGGCCUGUGAGGGUUGCUGGAGGUAUCAGAAGUGCGAAUGCUGACAUAAGUAACGAUAAAGCGGGUGAAAAGCCCGCUCGCCGGAAGACCAAGGGUUCCUGUCCAACGUUAAUCGGGGCAGGGUGAGUCGACCCCUAAGGCGAGGCCGAAAGGCGUAGUCGAUGGGAAACGGGUUAAUAUUCCCGUACUUGGUGUUACUGCGAAGGGGGGACGGAGAAGGCUAUGUUGGCCGGGCGACGGUUGUCCCGGUUUAAGCGUGUAGGUGUGUGUUCCAGGUAAAUCCGGUUCACUUUAACACUGAGGCGUGAUGACGAGGCACUACGGUGCUGAAGCAACAAAUGCCCUGCUUCCAGGAAAAGCCUCUAAGCAUCAGGUAACAUCAAAUCGUACCCCAAACCGACACAGGUGGUCAGGUAGAGAAUACCAAGGCGCUUGAGAGAACUCGGGUGAAGGAACUAGGCAAAAUGGUGCCGUAACUUCGGGAGAAGGCACGCUGACACGUAGGUGAAGUGAUUUACUCAUGGAGCUGAAGUCAGUCGAAGAUACCAGCUGGCUGCAACUGUUUAUUAAAAACACAGCACUGUGCAAACACGAAAGUGGACGUAUACGGUGUGACGCCUGCCCGGUGCCGGAAGGUUAAUUGAUGGGGUCAGCGCAAGCGAAGCUCCUGAUCGAAGCCCCGGUAAACGGCGGCCGUAACUAUAACGGUCCUAAGGUAGCGAAAUUCCUUGUCGGGUAAGUUCCGACCUGCACGAAUGGCGUAAUGAUGGCCAGGCUGUCUCCACCCGAGACUCAGUGAAAUUGAACUCGCUGUGAAGAUGCAGUGUACCCGCGGCAAGACGGAAAGACCCCGUGAACCUUUACUAUAGCUUGACACUGAACAUUGAGCCUUGAUGUGUAGGAUAGGUGGGAGGCUUUGAAGUGUGGACGCCAGUCUGCAUGGAGCCGGCCUUGAAAUACCACCCUUUAAUGUUUGAUGUUCUAACGUGGACCCGUGAUCCGGGUUGCGGACAGUGUCUGGUGGGUAGUUUGACUGGGGCGGUCUCCUCCUAAAGAGUAACGGAGGAGCACGAAGGUUGGCUAAUCCUGGUCGGACAUCAGGAGGUUAGUGCAAUGGCAUAAGCCAGCUUGACUGCGAGCGUGACGGCGCGAGCAGGUGCGAAAGCAGGUCAUAGUGAUCCGGUGGUUCUGAAUGGAAGGGCCAUCGCUCAACGGAUAAAAGGUACUCCGGGGAUAACAGGCUGAUACCGCCCAAGAGUUCAUAUCGACGGCGGUGUUUGGCACCUCGAUGUCGGCUCAUCACAUCCUGGGGCUGAAGUAGGUCCCAAGGGUAUGGCUGUUCGCCAUUUAAAGUGGUACGCGAGCUGGGUUUAGAACGUCGUGAGACAGUUCGGUCCCUAUCUGCCGUGGGCGCUGGAGAACUGAGGGGGGCUGCUCCUAGUACGAGAGGACCGGAGUGGACGCAUCACUGGUGUUCGGGUUGUCAUGCCAAUGGCACUGCCCGGUAGCUAAAUGCGGAAGAGAUAAGUGCUGAAAGCAUCUAAGCACGAAACUUGCCCCGAGAUGAGUUCUCCCUGAGACUUAGAGUCUCCUGAAGGAACGUUGAAGACGACGACGUUGAUAGGCCGGGUGUGUAAGCGCAGCGAUGCGUUGAGCUAACCGGUACUAAUGAACCGUGAGGCUUAACCUU